RNAcentral lists this long non-coding RNA (261 nucleotides) under Capsella rubella. Its description in RNAcentral is "long non-coding RNA (CRUB_LNC002566)". The record is from RNAcentral. Lineage: Eukaryota; Viridiplantae; Streptophyta; Magnoliopsida; Brassicales; Brassicaceae.
UUUUUUUUUUUUUGUCAUCAACAAUCAAAAUUCUAUCCAAGUAAACAAGUCUUAUGGACAAUAUAAUAACAAUUGAUACAUAUGAUAAUUAAAAGAGUAAAAAAUUGCAUCAGGUGCACACAAAUAAAAAGAAAAGAAAAUACGCAUCCAAUCAAUUUUGAUCACAUCUCUAUGUUAAUAUUUAAUGUGGGAUAAAAAAAAAAUAUUUAAUGUGUUAUCUAAGAAAUGUAAAAUUAUUCUUUCUAUGUUAAUAUUUAAUGU